This 92-nucleotide signal recognition particle RNA is filed under the name bovine gut metagenome. RNAcentral's name for it is "Bacterial small signal recognition particle RNA". It matches the Rfam family "Bacterial small signal recognition particle RNA". From Rfam's summary of the family: The signal recognition particle (SRP) is a universally conserved ribonucleoprotein involved in the co-translational targeting of proteins to membranes. The record is from RNAcentral.
CGGGCCCUAUGCAAUGGCUGGAUCCGCGAACCCCGCCAGAUUCGGAAGGAAGCAACGGUAGCGAGUUCCUCCAUGUGCCGUAGGUCGCCUGG